RNAcentral lists this long non-coding RNA (739 nucleotides) under Olea europaea (common olive). RNAcentral's name for it is "long non-coding RNA (OEUR_LNC013750)". Lineage: Eukaryota; Viridiplantae; Streptophyta; Magnoliopsida; Lamiales; Oleaceae. The record is from RNAcentral.
AAAAAAAUUCAACUUGGGCUAAGUACUUGCAUUCUUUGUGAUUUUUUACUUUCUUUCUUCAUUUGUCUAUUUUUCACUUUUGAACUUAUUUUCUCAUGAAAUAUGUUAUUCUCUUCUAUUUUCUGUAUGCAGUUUUGGUCAGUAAAGAAAGGUUGUAGGAUAAGUUCAAUCUUUAUGUUCCAAUAAUUAUGAGUGAAUAAACCUAAGGCAGCUGCAAAUGGCAAUGCUAAGCCAGAGGAGAAGGGUGAGGUUGUGACACAGAAGAAAUAGAAAUAAUGCAGUAGCAAAGAUGGCAACAGAUAAAAAGGAUGAUGGGAAAGACGAGGCCCAAAUUAUGGAUAUGGACAAAGUGCAGAACAAAGAAAGCAAAGAAACUGAAGAAAAAGAAGCAGAUAAUGAAAUAAGAGAAAAGGAAGAAACCAAAGACGAACAAGAAAAGAAAGAAGCAAAAGAAGAUGAAGAUAACGAAGAAACAAAAGGAGGAGAAGAAAAAUAAGAAAUAAAAAGUGAGGAAAUGGAACUGCACUGAAAGACAUCUCUAAUGAUACAUCUUUUAAAUACUACCUUUUGUUCCAACUACUAAUGAAUUAAUCGUUAAUAUGCGUGUUAUUUUAUGGUUAAAAAAAUAAUUAAUAUUCCUUUUGCUUUGUUUCCUCUCAUCCAACAUUUUUUAGAGUGUGACAUGAUCCGUUAAAUGUCAGUGGCAUUCAUUUUAAUUCAUGACUAUUUUAGAUAAAAA